GACGAACGCUGGCGGCGUGCUUAACACAUGCAAGUCGAACGGAAAGGCCCUGCUUUUGUGGGGUGCUCGAGUGGCGAACGGGUGAGUAACACGUGAGUAACCUGCCCCUGACUUUGGGAUAACUUCAGGAAACUGGGGCUAAUAUCGGAUAGGAGCUCCUGAUGCAUGGUGGGGGUUGGAAAGUUUCGGCGGUGGGGGAUGGACUCGCGGCUUAUCAGCUUGUUGGUGGGGUAGUGGCUUACCAAGGCUUUGACGGGUAGCCGGCCUGAGAGGGUGACCGGUCACCUUGGGCCUGCGGUACGGACCAGACUCCUACGGGCGGCAGCAGUGGGGAAUAUUGCGCAAUGGGCGGAAGCCUGAUGCAGCAACGCCGCGUGCGGGAUGACGGCCUACGGGUUGUAAACCGCUUUCGCCUGUGACGAAGCGUGAGUGACGGUAAUGGGUAAAGAAGCACCGGCUAACUACGUG
This 468-nucleotide ribosomal RNA is filed under the name uncultured bacterium. RNAcentral's name for it is "partial 16S ribosomal RNA". It matches the Rfam family "Bacterial small subunit ribosomal RNA", at positions 28 to 507 of the family's 1533-position model. The record is from RNAcentral.